RNAcentral lists this ribosomal RNA (253 nucleotides) under uncultured bacterium. RNAcentral's name for it is "partial 16S ribosomal RNA". It matches the Rfam family "Bacterial small subunit ribosomal RNA", at positions 524 to 776 of the family's 1533-position model. The record is from RNAcentral.
UACGGGGGGGGCAAGCGUUGUUCGGAAUUACUGGGCGUAAAGGGCUCGUAGGUGGCCAACUAAGUCAGACGUGAAAUCCCUCGGCUUAACCGGGGAACUGCGUCUGAUACUGGAUGGCUUGAGUUCGGGAGAGGGAUGCGGAAUUCCAGGUGUAGCGGUGAAAUGCGUAGAUAUCUGGAGGAAUACCGAUGGCGAAGGCAGGUCUCUGGGCUGACACUGACGCUCAUGCACGAAAGCGUGGGGAGCAAACAGG